RNAcentral lists this ribosomal RNA (481 nucleotides) under Aneides flavipunctatus (black salamander). Its description in RNAcentral is "partial small subunit ribosomal RNA". It matches the Rfam family "Bacterial small subunit ribosomal RNA", at positions 793 to 1523 of the family's 1533-position model. The record is from RNAcentral. Lineage: Eukaryota; Metazoa; Chordata; Amphibia; Caudata; Plethodontidae.
UGCUCGACUCUAAACUUUGAUUCGCCAGAGUACUACGAGCCACAGCUUAAAACUCAAAAGACUUGGCGGCGCCCCAUANCCCCCUAGAGGAGCCUGUUCUAUAAUCGAUAUUCCCCGAUAAACCUCACCACCUCUCGUUAACACAGCCUAUAUACCACCGUCCUCAGCUUACCCCUUAAAGGGAGAAUAGUAAGCAAAAUCAUUUUAAAUAAAAAAGUCAGGUCAAGGUGUAGCAAAUGAGGCGGAAAGAAAUGGGCUACAUUUUCUAUUAUAGAAUAUACAGAAUAUUUUAUGAAAUAUGAUAUGAAGGAGGAUUUAGAAGUAAAAGGAAAAAAGAGUGUUCUUUUUAAAUCGGCAAUAGAGCGCGCACACACCGCCCGUCACCCUCCUUACACACNAGNNAAAAAUUAAAUAAAUAUUAAUAUAACAAAAGGAGAUAAGUCGUAACAUGGUAAGCCUACCGGAAGGUGGGCUUGGAUAU